GACGAACGCUGGCGGCGUGCGUAACACAUGCAAGUCGAACGAAGAGCGAUGGAAGCUUGCUUCUAUCCAUCUUAGUGGCGAACGGGUGAGUAACGCGUAAUCAACCUGCCCUUCAGAGGGGGACAACAGUUGGAAACGACUGCUAAUACCGCAUACGAUCUAAUCUCGGCAUCGAGGAUAGAUGAAAGGUGGCCUCUACAUGUAAGCUAUCACUGAAGGAGGGGUUUGCGUCUGAUUAGCUAGUUGGAGGAGUAACGGCCCACCAAGGCGAUGCUCAGUAGCCGGUCUGAGAGGAUGAACGGCCACAUUUGGACUGAGACACGGCCCAGACUCCUACGGGAGGCAGCAGGGGGGAAUCUUCCGCAAUGGGCGAAAGUCUGACGGGGCAACGCCGGGUGAGUGAUGACGGCCUUCGGGUUGUAAAGCUCUGUUUAUCGGGACGAAAGGCCUUCUUGCGAAUAGAGAGAAGGAUUGACGGUACCGGAAUAGAAAGCCACGGCUAACUACGUG
This 510-nucleotide ribosomal RNA is filed under the name uncultured bacterium. RNAcentral's name for it is "partial 16S ribosomal RNA". It matches the Rfam family "Bacterial small subunit ribosomal RNA", at positions 28 to 507 of the family's 1533-position model. The record is from RNAcentral.